Molecule: ribosomal RNA, 693 nt
Filed under: uncultured bacterium
Lineage: Bacteria
Description: bacterial SSU rRNA
Rfam family: Bacterial small subunit ribosomal RNA
Source: RNAcentral
AACUUUUCAGCUAGAGUAUGAUAGAGGAAAGCAGAAUUUCUAGUGUAGAGGUGAAAUUCGUAGAUAUUAGAAAGAAUACCAAUUGCGAAGGCAGCUUUCUGGAUCAUUACUGACACUGAGGAACGAAAGCAUGGGUAGCGAAGAGGAUUAGAUACCCUCGUAGUCCAUGCCGUAAACGAUGUGUGUUAGACGUUGGAAAUUUAUUUUCAGUGUCGCAGGGAAACCGAUAAACACACCGCCUGGGGAGUACGACCGCAAGGUUAAAACUCAAAUGAAUUGACGGGGACCCGCACAAGUAGUGGAGCAUGUGGUUUAAUUCGAAGAUACGCGCAGAACCUUACCAACACUUGACAUGUUCGUCGCGACUCUAAGAGAUUAGAGUUUUCGGUUCGGCCGGACGAAACACAGGUGCUGCAUGGCUGUCGUCAGCUCGUGUCGUGAGAUGUUGGGUUAAGUCCCGCAACGAGCGCAACCCUCACUUUUAGUUGCCAUCAUUAAGUUGGGCACUCUGAAAGAACUGCCAGUGAUAAGCUGGAGGAAGGUGGGGAUGACGUCAAGUCCUCAUGGCCCUUACGUGUUGGGCUACACACGUGCUACAAUGGUAUCUACAACAGGAAGCAAGACUGCGAAGUUAAAGCAAAUCCCUAAAAGAUACCUCAGUUCGGAUUGCACUCUGCAACUCGAGUGCAUGAA